This 197-nucleotide ribosomal RNA is filed under the name Candidatus Wolfebacteria bacterium. RNAcentral's name for it is "partial 16S ribosomal RNA". It matches the Rfam family "Bacterial small subunit ribosomal RNA", at positions 1309 to 1517 of the family's 1533-position model. Lineage: Bacteria; Candidatus Wolfeibacteriota. The record is from RNAcentral.
AACUCGCCCUCAUGAAGUUGGAAUCGCUAGUAAUCGUGAAUCAGCCAUGUCACGGUGAAUACGUUCUCGAGUCCUGUACUCACCGCCCGUCACACCAAGGGAGCUGGUAGCGGAUAGAGUCUCACCUAGCGUGGGAUGAGUUCGAGAUCAGUGACAGGGGUGAAGUCGUAACAAGGCACGCGUAGCGGAAGCUGUGC